Molecule: long non-coding RNA, 882 nt
Organism: Diabrotica virgifera virgifera (western corn rootworm)
Lineage: Eukaryota; Metazoa; Arthropoda; Insecta; Coleoptera; Chrysomelidae
Exons: 3
Source: RefSeq, a predicted model, not a curated record
GUCAUUUGUACAAGAAUCUACAGGUCGAGCAAGUCUCGUAAAUUUCACGAUUGCGAGCCACGCUUCACGCAACCGUGUUUGCGUACUUGUGUUUCGAGUUGCGUGGUCGUGCGGAGUUAUCAAAUUUAAAUCCGUUCCAACAUGCUGUCAAAAUUAAAUCAAUAUGUCAAUAUGGCUACUGGGUGUAAAAGAUAAAUCUUAUUCUAUCUGUUCUUAAUGAGUUUUAGAUAAUUUUAGUUGUAUUUCUUUGUAAUUUUGUGUUGUACAAAGAUUAAUUUAACAUUUUCUCUGGAAGUAUUAAUUUAGGAAGAUAAUAUGCUUCAUUGGUGUGUUUUGAAGUGUGAAAUGCAAAGUAAUUGUGAUAAAGUCAAGAUAAAGUUCACUUUUAAACUGAACUAAAUAAGGUAUCUGAGAGACAACAAUGGUUAAAUGCAAUACAAUGUACAGGUUUUACUAGCGAAAUGAAAAUUUUCCUGUCCUGUCUGCUGUAAUCAUUUUAUAUCUGGAAAACCAGCCGACUUAAUCCAUAAUAACAAUCUCCAGAUUGGGUUCCUUCAAUAAAUAUGGGCUAUAAACACAAUGAAAUAAGUUCCCCAAAAUCUAAAAUGGAGUGGUAUCAAAGGAGAAUUAAAGGAAAAAAUAUUCAUAUUGAAAUUAUUUAUAAGGCACUGGACUGUCUUAAAUUCUACAAUAAUACUAGAAUCAGCUGAGAGAAGUGGUCUACAAAAAACCAGGAAGGAAACGGAAUAUGUGGCUACGAAAGGCAAAAGAAAGGUUUACAAAGCAAAUGUGACACAUUUUUUUGAAAUAUUUAGGAAUAUCAGUAAAUUGCAUUAAAAGAAUGUAUGAAAAGAUUUUGUUCAAUAAAAAUGUUUAUAUUUA